RNAcentral lists this microRNA precursor (153 nucleotides) under Citrus sinensis (sweet orange). RNAcentral describes it as "miR396a stem-loop (csi-MIR396a)". Its record names the gene csi-MIR396a. Lineage: Eukaryota; Viridiplantae; Streptophyta; Magnoliopsida; Sapindales; Rutaceae. The record is from miRBase by way of RNAcentral.
CGAAGGUCCUCUUUGUGAUCUUCCACAGCUUUCUUGAACUGUCUUGAAUUUUCCGAUCGAUACCGGUGCAUGAUUAAUUCCCAACACAAUUCAAGAAAGCUGUGGAAAACUACUAAGAGGAUUUGGUCAUCAAUCUCUCUUUUGAUAGAGAUC